UCGUGCUAGAUGGGGAGGUAGCGGUUCCCUGUUGCCCGCAGUCCGCUAGAGCGGGGUCGAAUCCCUGCCCGAGGGUUAGCCUUGUGGGGCUGCCCGGUGUAAGUGGUGAAGACGUUUGGGUCCCGCGCAGCAGGAACCCAUGAACCCCGUCAGGUCCGGAAGGAAGCAGCGGUAAGUGGUGCUUUCCUGGGUGCCGCGGGGGUGCCUGAACCGAGCUAACUGCACCGGUACCGCCCGGAAGGUGUAAUUCGGAGGCAGGUGCACGG
This is a non-coding RNA of Thermacetogenium phaeum DSM 12270, 266 nucleotides long. It matches the Rfam family "Bacterial large signal recognition particle RNA". From Rfam's summary of the family: The signal recognition particle (SRP) is a universally conserved ribonucleoprotein involved in the co-translational targeting of proteins to membranes. Archaeal SRP consists of a 7S RNA and homologues of the eukaryotic SRP19 and SRP54 proteins. Lineage: Bacteria; Bacillati; Bacillota; Clostridia; Thermoanaerobacterales; Thermoanaerobacteraceae. The record is from Rfam.